RNAcentral lists this ribosomal RNA (253 nucleotides) under uncultured bacterium. RNAcentral's name for it is "partial 16S ribosomal RNA". It matches the Rfam family "Bacterial small subunit ribosomal RNA", at positions 524 to 776 of the family's 1533-position model. The record is from RNAcentral.
GGCGUAGGGCGCAAGCGUUGUCCGGAUUUAUUGGGCGUAAAGAGCUCGUAGGCGGCUUGUUGCGUCGUCCGUGAAAACCUGUGGCUCAACUACAGGCUUGCGGUCGAUACGGGCGGGCUGGAGUUCGGUAGGGGAGACUGGAAUUCCUGGUGUAGCGGUGAAAUGCGCAGAUAUCAGGAGGAACACCGGUGGCGAAGGCGGGUCUCUGGGCCGAUACUGACGCUGAGGAGCGAAAGCGUGGGGAGCGAACAGG